GAAUUGAUCUGGUUCAGAACGAACGCUGGCGGCGCGUCUAAGCAUGCAAGUCGAACGGCAAGAGGUAGCAAUACCUCCUAGAGUGGCGGACUGGUGAGUAACACGUGGGUGACAUACCCUUCAGAUGGGGAUAGCUAUUAGAAAUAGUAGAUAAUACCGAAUACGAGCACAGGGGUUAGAGAUCUGUGAGGAAAGGAGCUAAGGCUCCGCUGAAGGAAUGGCCUGCGGCCCAUUAGCUAGUUGGUGAGGUAAGAGCCCACCAAGGCGAUGAUGGGUAUCCGGCCUUAGAGGGUGAACGGACACAUUGGGACUGAGAUACGGCCCAGACUCCUACGGGAGGCAGCAGCUAAGAAUAUUCCGCAAUGGACGAAAGUCUGACGGAGCGACGCCGCGUGGAUGAAGAAGGCCGGAAGGUUGUAAAAUCCUUUUGAAACUGAAGAAUAAGCGUUGUAGGGAAUGACAGCGUGGUGACAGUAGGUUUUGAAUAAGCAACGGCUAAUUACGUGCCAGCCGCGGC
RNAcentral lists this ribosomal RNA (517 nucleotides) under uncultured bacterium. Its description in RNAcentral is "bacterial SSU rRNA". It matches the Rfam family "Bacterial small subunit ribosomal RNA", at positions 9 to 518 of the family's 1533-position model. The record is from RNAcentral.